AUUGAACGCUGGCGGAAUGCUUUACACAUGCAAGUCGAGCGGCAGCACGGGGGCAACCCUGGUUGCGAGCGGCGAACGGGUGAGUAAUACAUCGGAACAUGCUCAGUCGUGGGGGAUAACACUUCGAAAGAAGUGCUAAUACCGCAUACGUCCUGAGGGGGAAAGCGGGGGAUCGCAAGACCUCGCGCGAUUGGAGUGGCCGAUGUCAGAUUAGCUAGCUGGUGGGGUAAAGGCCUACCAAGGCAACGAUCGGUAGCUGGACUGAGAGGAUGAUCAGCCACACUGGGGCUGAGACACGGCCCAGACUCCUACGGGAGGCAGCAGUGGGGAAUUUUGGACAAUGGGGGCAACCCUGAUCCAGCCAUUCCGCGUGAGUGAAGAAGGCCUUCGGGUUGUAAAGCUCUUUCGGCAGGAACGAAACGGUGAGCUCUAACAUAGCUUGCUAAUGACGGUACCUGAAGAAGAAGCACCGGCUAACUACGUA
This 484-nucleotide ribosomal RNA is filed under the name uncultured bacterium. RNAcentral's name for it is "partial 16S ribosomal RNA". It matches the Rfam family "Bacterial small subunit ribosomal RNA", at positions 30 to 507 of the family's 1533-position model. The record is from RNAcentral.